Molecule: ribosomal RNA, 1388 nt
Filed under: uncultured organism
Description: SSU rRNA
Rfam family: Bacterial small subunit ribosomal RNA
Source: RNAcentral
GCUUGCUUUCUUUGCUGGCGACCGGCGCACGGGUGAGUAACACGUAUCCAACCUGCCCUUUACUCGGGGAUAGCCUUUCGAAAGAAAGAUUAAUACCCGAUAGCAUAAUGAUUCCGCAUGGUUUCAUUAUUAAAGGAUUCCGGUAAAGGAUGGGGAUGCGUUCCAUUAGGUUGUUGGUGAGGUAACGGCUCACCAAGCCUUCGAUGGAUAGGGGUUCUGAGAGGAAGGUCCCCCACAUUGGAACUGAGACACGGUCCAAACUCCUACGGGAGGCAGCAGUGAGGAAUAUUGGUCAAUGGGCGCUAGCCUGAACCAGCCAAGUAGCGUGAAGGAUGAAGGCUCUAUGGGUCGUAAACUUCUUUUAUAUAAGAAUAAAGUGCAGUAUGUAUACUGUUUUGUAUGUAUUAUAUGAAUAAGGAUCGGCUAACUCCGCGCCAGCAGCCGCGGUAAUACGGAGGAUCCGAGCGUUAUCCGGAUUUAUUGGGUUUAAAGGGAGCGUAGGUGGACUGGUAAGUCAGUUGUGAAAGUUUGCGGCUCAACCGUAAAAUUGCAGUUGAUACUGUCAGUCUUGAGUACAGUAGAGGUGGGCGGAAUUCGUGGUGUAGUGGUGAAAUGCUUAGAUAUCACGAAGAACUCCGAUUGCGAAGGCAGCUCACUGGACUGCAACUGACACUGAUGCUCGAAAGUGUGGGUAUCAAACAGGAUUAGAUACCCUGGUAGUCCACACAGUAAACGAUGAAUACUCGCUGUUUGCGAUAUACAGUAAGCGGCCAAGCGAAAGCAUUAAGUAUUCCACCUGGGGAGUACGCCGGCAACGGUGAAACUCAAAGGAAUUGACGGGGGCCCGCACAAGCGGAGGAACAUGUGGUUUAAUUCGAUGAUACGCGAGGAACCUUACCCGGGCUUAAAUUGCAGUGGAAUGAUGUGGAAACAUGUCAGUGAGCAAUCACCGCUGUGAAGGUGCUGCAUGGUUGUCGUCAGCUCGUGCCGUGAGGUGUCGGCUUAAGUGCCAUAACGAGCGCAACCCUUAUCUUUAGUUACUAACAGGUCAUGCUGAGGACUCUAGAGAGACUGCCGUCGUAAGAUGUGAGGAAGGUGGGGAUGACGUCAAAUCAGCACGGCCCUUACGUCCGGGGCUACACACGUGUUACAAUGGGGGGUACAGAAGGCAGCUAGCGGGUGACCGUAUGCUAAUCCCAAAAGCCUCUCUCAGUUCGGAUCGAAGUCUGCAACCCGACUUCGUGAAGCUGGAUUCGCUAGUAAUCGCGCAUCAGCCACGGCGCGGUGAAUACGUUCCCGGGCCUUGUACACACCGCCCGUCAAGCCAUGGGAGCCGGGGGUACCUGAAGUACGUAACCGCAAGGAUCGUCCUAGGGUAAAACUGGUGA